RNAcentral lists this small nuclear RNA (211 nucleotides) under Musa acuminata subsp. malaccensis (wild Malaysian banana). RNAcentral describes it as "U2 spliceosomal RNA". It matches the Rfam family "U2 spliceosomal RNA". Rfam says of the family: U2 is a small nuclear RNA (snRNA) component of the spliceosome (involved in pre-mRNA splicing). Lineage: Eukaryota; Viridiplantae; Streptophyta; Magnoliopsida; Zingiberales; Musaceae. The record is from Rfam by way of RNAcentral.
GUACUUAUUUCGGCCUUUUGGCUGAGAUCAAGUGUAGUAUCUGUUCUUACCAGUUUAUCUGUGAAGGAUCGUUAUGUGCUGAGACGUCACAAUCUUCGUGAACAGUAGUUUCUAUACUCAGUAUCUACGCAUUAAACUCAUCAGAAAGCUUUCUCUACAUGUCGACAUUCUCGUGUUUAUGACACCACGAUGCACGUAAAGAAGAAUUGAU